RNAcentral lists this ribosomal RNA (496 nucleotides) under uncultured bacterium. RNAcentral describes it as "partial 16S ribosomal RNA". It matches the Rfam family "Bacterial small subunit ribosomal RNA", at positions 30 to 523 of the family's 1533-position model. The record is from RNAcentral.
AUUGAACGCUGGCGGCAUGCUUUACACAUGCAAGUCGAACGGUAGAGGGGGCAACCCCUUGAGAGUGGCGAACGGGUGAGUAAUGCAUCGGAACGUGCCCAGUCGGGGGGGAUAACGCAGCGAAAGCUGUGCUAAUACCGCAUACGAUCUCUGGAUGAAAGAGGGGGACCGCAAGGACUCGCGCGAUUGGAGCGGCCGAUGUCAGAUUAGGUAGUAGGUGGGGUAAAGGCUCACCAAGCCAACGAUCUGUAGCUGGUCUGAGAGGACGACCAGCCACACUGGGACUGAGACACGGCCCAGACUCCUACGGGAGGCAGCAGUGGGGAAUUUUGGACAAUGGGCGCAAGCCUGAUCCAGCAAUGCCGCUUGCAGGAAGAAUGCCUUCGUGUUGUAAACUGCUUUUGUACGGAACGAAAAGGUCUGGGUUAAUACCCUGGGCACAUGACGGUACCGUAAGAAUAAGCACCGGCUAACUACGUGCCAGCCGCCGCCGUAA